This 472-nucleotide ribosomal RNA is filed under the name uncultured bacterium. Its description in RNAcentral is "partial 16S ribosomal RNA". It matches the Rfam family "Bacterial small subunit ribosomal RNA", at positions 29 to 507 of the family's 1533-position model. The record is from RNAcentral.
AGUGAACGCUGGCGGUAGGCCUAACACAUGCAAGUCGAACGGCAGCACAGUAAGAGCUUGCUCUUACGGGUGGCGAGUGGCGGACGGGUGAGGAAUACAUCGGAAUCUACUUUUUCGUGGGGGAUAACGUAGGGAAACUUACGCUAAUACCGCAUACGACCUACGGGUGAAAGCAGGGGAUCUUCGGACCUUGCGCGAUUGAAUGAGCCGAUGUCGGAUUAGCUAGUUGGCGGGGUAAAGGCCCACCAAGGCGACGAUCCGUAGCUGGUCUGAGAGGAUGAUCAGCCACACUGGAACUGAGACACGGUCCAGACUCCUACGGGAGGCAGCAGUGGGGAAUAUUGCACAAUGGGCGGAAGCCUGAUGCAGCAACGCCGCGUGCGGGAUGACGGCCUUCGGGUUGUAAACCGCUUUCGCCUGUGACGAAGCGUGAGUGACGGUAAUGGGUAAAGAAGCACCAGCUAACUACGUG